This is a long non-coding RNA of Macrobrachium nipponense, 580 nucleotides long. RefSeq lists it as uncharacterized. The record is from RefSeq and is a predicted model, not a curated record. The transcript has 4 exons. Lineage: Eukaryota; Metazoa; Arthropoda; Malacostraca; Decapoda; Palaemonidae.
CUACCUCCCAUGGUGGCUCUGUUAUUAACGUUUUCAAUUUGGUUUGUUUUCUCCCAGGGAACGGGAAAUCGUAACUGGAACGUAAUUAGAUUCCAGUUGACGACAAGGUGAAGCAGAGGGAGGAAUGUGACUCAGAAUGGAACAAGGAAAAACUGGAUACAAAUUCUCAAAAGAAAUGGCUGCAGUACUGGUUCAGUUUCAAGUCUUUGUUGGUGACUGAUCCAUUUGUGUAUCAUUAUGGCAAGAAUAUUAUUAAACCUCACUUCACUGUGGAAAUAUCAGUGAUACAGGAAUGUCUGAAGCGAUAGUUUGAAAACCCGAAUGAAGAGGACUACAAACUGGAUGAUGUUGGUAUGACGGUGGGAUCAAUAUGCAAGGCAAAUGUAGGGCUCACUCACUAUCUGAUGAAAUGAAAAGUUGAUGACAAGGUAAACCAGAGGAAGAAAUGUGACCCAAAAUGGAACAAGGAAAAAUGGAUUACAAAUUCUCAACACGGAGAAGGGAUUGUAACAUCAGUGCAAUACAAAUGGCAGCAGUACUGGUCCAGUUCCAAGUCUGUUGGUGACUGAUCCUUCUGUGU